This 321-nucleotide long non-coding RNA is filed under the name Salmo salar (Atlantic salmon). RNAcentral's name for it is "lncRNA (ENSSSAG00000117058.1)". Lineage: Eukaryota; Metazoa; Chordata; Actinopteri; Salmoniformes; Salmonidae. The record is from RNAcentral.
GCCUACCGAACGCGCUAACAACACGGAACAACAUGGAGUUAUUUGGACAUAAAUUAUGAACUUCAUCGAAAAAAAACCACAUUUGUUGUCGAACUGGGAUUCCUAGAAGUGCCUUCUGAUGAAGAUUAUUAAAGGGCUGCCAGUCACAGAGGGGUCUGAGGUCCCAAAUUAUUCCGGGGACAGGCAGGUUCAAUGCACUGGAAGAAGCAUGGCCACCCUGACAGAAUGUGAUGAGACACUAGCAAGGCUGGACAGCAUGUGUUUAGUGUGUAUACAGCACAGGAGGCUGCUGAGGGGAGGACCACUCAUAAUAAUGACCGG